AGCAGCCGCGGUAAUUCCAGCUCCAAUAGCGUAUAUUAAAGUUGUUGCAGUUAAAAAGCUCGUAGUUGAAUUUCGAGAUCGGUUUAUUGGUCGUGCUAUUGUACGUACUGGUAUUACCGGUUUCUCCUUUCUGACGAACCUUAAUGCCAUUAAUUUGGUGUUUUGGGAAAUCAGGACUGUUACUUUGAAAAAAUUAGAGUGUUUAAAGCAGGCUCACGCUUGAAUACAUUAGCAUGGAAUAACGGAAUAGGACGUUUGAUUCUAUUUUGUUGGUUUCUAGGAUCGACGUAAUGAUUAAUAGGGAUAGUUGGGGGCAUUAGUAUUCAAUUGUCAGAGGUGAAAUUCUUGGAUUUAUUGAAGACUAACUACUGCGAAAGCAUUUGCCAAGGAUGUUUUCAUUAAUCAAGAACGAAAGUUAGGGGAUCGAAGACGAUCAGAUACCGUCGUAGUCUUAACCAUAAACUAUGCCGACUAGGGAUCGGAUGAUGUUAAUUUUUUAAUGUACUCAUCCGGCGCCUUACGGGAAACCAAAGUGUUGGGUUCG
RNAcentral lists this ribosomal RNA (544 nucleotides) under uncultured fungus. Its description in RNAcentral is "SSU rRNA". It matches the Rfam family "Eukaryotic small subunit ribosomal RNA", at positions 569 to 1115 of the family's 1831-position model. Lineage: Eukaryota; Fungi. The record is from RNAcentral.